UCAGAUGGUAGUGAACUCAUGGGUC
This 25-nucleotide non-coding RNA is filed under the name Cricetulus griseus (Chinese hamster). Lineage: Eukaryota; Metazoa; Chordata; Mammalia; Rodentia; Cricetidae. The record is from RNAcentral.